AUGGUACCGCAGCUCCAGUGGUGCAGCCAGGAACACACAUUCAACACAGAUAUGUGUGUGCUAGACUUGGGCGUCUAUGAUGCAGUUCUCGGCGUCGACUGGCUAGCGCAACAUAGCCCCAUGAAGUGUGAUUGGCAGUUGAAAACAAUGCAAUUCGAGCGUGAUGGGACAGCAGUACACCUACAGGGAGUUAGAUCGGAUGAAUCGCCAACCCUUACUGCUUUGGAUGCUUCUUCUCUUUGGCAAAUGCAUGAUGCAAACGAGAUUUGGGGGGCUGCUUUAAUAGAACUCCAAAUGGCGCCAAUACCAGAUUCAGCAACAACUCAACCACCACCAGUUGUGAUCCAAUGCAUUCUAACAGAGUUCAGUGAUGUCUUUGCUGAACCUACAGGAUUACCUCCCCGCCGUCAAUACGACCAUGCUAUCACUCUAGAACCGGGGGCCACACCAAUCAACUGUCGCCCGUACCGUUAUUCUCCGUUGCAGAAAGACGAGAUAGAGCGUCAGGUUACGGAAAUGCUGCGGACAGGGAUCAUUACUCAUAGUAUGAGUCCCUACGCCGCUCCUGUACUCCUGGUGAAAAAGAAGGAUGGAACCUGGCGCUUCUGCGUAGAUUACAGACGCCUGAACAUGGUGACCAUCAAAAACAGAUUUCCCCUUCCCGUCAUCGACGAGCUACUGGAUGAACUUGCUGGCGCCGCCUUAUUUUCCAAGACCGAUCUGCGAGCUGGAUACCAUCAGAUCCGUAUGAAAAAAGGCGACGAGGAGAAAACUGCAUUCAAAACGCAUCACGACCACUUUGAGUUCCGUGUCAUGCCAUUUGGGGUCACCAACGGACCACCCACAUUCCAAUGUGUCAUAAACUCGGUGUUCUCCGGACCAAAUCGUAAGUUCGUCAUUACUUUUCUCGAUGACAUCUUGGUGUUCAGCCGUUCUCUG
RNAcentral lists this ribosomal RNA (939 nucleotides) under Triticum aestivum (bread wheat). RNAcentral describes it as "partial small subunit ribosomal RNA". Lineage: Eukaryota; Viridiplantae; Streptophyta; Magnoliopsida; Poales; Poaceae. The record is from RNAcentral.